GAAUUAAGGGGGUUUGAAUUAUCUGCCGACUCAUUCAUUCAAACACUCAGUAGAACGAAACUUUUACAACGAGGUGCUACUGUGAUUGCGUGAAUGAUGCGGGAGAUAGUUUCAUCCUUCUCCUUCUGU
Molecule: microRNA precursor, 129 nt
Filed under: Salicornia europaea (common glasswort)
Lineage: Eukaryota; Viridiplantae; Streptophyta; Magnoliopsida; Caryophyllales; Amaranthaceae
Description: miR319 stem-loop (seu-MIR319)
Gene: seu-MIR319
Source: miRBase by way of RNAcentral